RNAcentral lists this ribosomal RNA (301 nucleotides) under uncultured bacterium. RNAcentral's name for it is "partial 16S ribosomal RNA". It matches the Rfam family "Bacterial small subunit ribosomal RNA", at positions 509 to 809 of the family's 1533-position model. The record is from RNAcentral.
CAGUCGCCGCGGUAAUACGUAGGGUGCGAGCGUUAAUCGGAAUUACUGGGCGUAAAGCGCGCGUAGGUGGUUCGCCAAGUUGGAUGUGAAAUCCCCGGGCUCAACCUGGGAACUGCAUCCAAAACUGGCGAGCUAGAGUAUGGUAGAGGGUGGUGGAAUUUCCUGUGUAGCGGUGAAAUGCGUAGAUAUAGGAAGGAACAUCAGUGGCGAAGGCGACCACCUGGACUGAUACUGACACUGAGGUGCGAAAGCGUGGGGAGCAAACAGGAUUAGAUACCCGGGUAGUCCCUGUCUCUUAUAA